RNAcentral lists this ribosomal RNA (399 nucleotides) under uncultured bacterium. RNAcentral's name for it is "partial 16S ribosomal RNA". It matches the Rfam family "Bacterial small subunit ribosomal RNA", at positions 360 to 774 of the family's 1533-position model. The record is from RNAcentral.
AAUAUUGCACAAUGGAGGGAACUCUGAUGCAGCAACGCCGCGUGAGUGAAGAAGGUUUUCGGAUCGCAAAACUCUGUCAUUGGGGAGGAAUAAAUGACGGUACCCAACGAGGAAGCACCGGCUAACUCUGUGCCAGCAGCCGCGGUAAUACAGAGGGUGCAAGCGUUAAUCGGAAUUACUGGGCGUAAAGGGUACGUAGGCGGCUAUAUAAGUCAGGUGUGAAAUACCAGUGCUUAACACUGGAAUUGCAUUUGAAACUGUGUAGCUUGAGUGCAGGAGAGGAAAGUGGAAUUCCUAGUGUAGCGGUGAAAUGCGUAGAGAUUAGGAGGAACACCAGUGGCGAAGGCGACUUUCUGGACUGAUACUGACACUGAGGUGCGAAAGCGUGGGGAGCAAACA